This 464-nucleotide ribosomal RNA is filed under the name Vreelandella stevensii. RNAcentral describes it as "partial 16S ribosomal RNA". It matches the Rfam family "Bacterial small subunit ribosomal RNA", at positions 339 to 795 of the family's 1533-position model. Lineage: Bacteria; Pseudomonadati; Pseudomonadota; Gammaproteobacteria; Oceanospirillales; Halomonadaceae. The record is from RNAcentral.
CUACGGGUGGCAGCAGUGGGGAAUAUUGGACAAUGGGCGAAAGCCUGAUCCAGCCAUGUCGCGUGUGUGAAGAAGGCCUUCGGGUUGUAAAGCACUUUCAGUGGGGAAGAAAGCCUUGGGGCUAAUACCCUCGAGGAAGGACAUCACCCACAGAAGAAGCACCGGCUAACUCCGUGCCAGCAGCCGCGGUAAUACGGAGGGUGCGAGCGUUAAUCGGAAUUACUGGGCGUAAAGCGCGCGUAGGCGGUCUGAUAAGCCGGUUGUGAAAGCCCCGGGCUCAACCUGGGAACGGCAUCCGGAACUGUCAGGCUAGAGUGCAGGAGAGGAAGGUAGAAUUCCCGGUGUAGCGGUGAAAUGCGUAGAGAUCGGGAGGAAUACCAGUGGCGAAGGCGGCCUUCUGGACUGACACUGACGCUGAGGUGCGAAAGCGUGGGUAGCAAACAGGAUUAGAUACCCCAGUAGUC